This 1834-nucleotide ribosomal RNA is filed under the name Triticum aestivum (bread wheat). RNAcentral describes it as "partial small subunit ribosomal RNA". Lineage: Eukaryota; Viridiplantae; Streptophyta; Magnoliopsida; Poales; Poaceae. The record is from RNAcentral.
GAUUUUUCCAAUCAGUUGACAGUGAAACCCAGACUCCAGGUUGUCACCUAUACUUCAAGUCGUCGGGGUUGUGAACAGAUAUUUGUUCUCUGUGGUGGUAUGAAUUUGCCACCCACCCGGAAAAUCACCUAAACUUACCAGCACGACUUAACCUCCAUCAUGUUUACUCUAGCACAGAUUUUGCACUAUAUAUACCUGACUGCUUUAGUGUUUCCUUCACUCACUGCCCUACAGCUCAAGCUAGUUAGUUUACCUCUUUGGCAGAAUGUUUCCUGUCUCUUGGCACCCCUACCUCCCUGUUCUCUUCUUCCUCUGUCUUGCCGACCACCUCCACACCUCUGGUGUUAUCGCUGGUACAAAUGAGCUGGUCUAUAAUGGCUUUUCAGCUGAUCUGAAGCUUGACGGCAAAGCUUUGUGGAUAGAUGACCUGUUGAGUGUAACCAAUGGCCCAGGUGGUACAAGCGGCCAUGCUUUCUGCAGAUAUCCCCUAAGCUUUCAAGAUAAUCCCGGUGGUGCUAUCUCCUCCUUCUCAACUACGUUUGUGUUCGUCAUGGGCUUCAAGCAGUAUAAAGGUAAUGGGAUGGCCUUCAUACUUUCAUCCACCAGUGACUUACCAGAUGAUUCGCCAGGCGAGUACCUUGGCCUCCCGCAUUCUAACUUAGAUGGCCAUGCUUUCUUCGCCGUCGAGUUCGACACCGUCUUGAAUCCUGAGAUCGGGGACAUCGAUGACAACCAUGUUGGGAUUGAUGUCAACAGCUUGGCCUCAGUUGAAUCCCAAACUGCUGGCUUCUAUAACUUCUACGCUGAGAAAGGCAAAGGAAGAUGAUGAGUGGGAGAUCAAGUCUGGGAUGAUGUCUUUCACGUACAAGGAACUAGUGACCGCCACCGAAGGCUUCAGCAAUUGCACCCUCCUCGGGAAAGGGGGCUUUGGAAGGGUGUACAAAGGGGUGCUCCCUACCACCACACAGCAUGUGGCCAUCAAGCGGGUGUCGCCGGAAUCAAAGCAGGGGAAGAAGGAGUUCAUGGCGGAGAUCGCCAUCCUUGGCCAUGUCCGCCACCGAAACCUUGUCCAACUGCUAGGCUAUUGCCGGUACAAGCAGGAGCUGCUCUUGGUCUAUGACUACAUGCCCAAUGGCAGCCUUGAUAGGUACUUGUAUGACAAGACUACGCCGACCCUGGAUUGGGCUCAGAGGCUUCGCAUCAUCAAAGGCGUAGCUUCCGGCCUCUACUACCUGCACGAGGAUUGGGAGCAAGUCAUCAUCCAUCGGGACAUCAAGGCGAGCAACGUUCUCCUCGACGACGACAUGAAUGGGAGGCUUGGUGACUUUGGCCUCGCAAGGUUGCAUGACCAUGGAGUCGAUGCCCACACCACACAUGUAGCAGGCACCUGGGGAUACAUUGCCCCUGAGCUGGCCCGGCUUGGCAAGGCGACCAAGGCGACCGACGUUUUUCAUUUGGAGUGUUUACCAUAGAGGUGGUGUGCGGGAGAAAACCAAUCGGCCCGGCCAACACCAGUGGCGGCCUUCUUGCGCUGGCGGAUUGGGUACGUGGCACAUGGCAGGGUGGCUCGAUCGUCGACGCCGUGGACCCUGAGCUGAAAGAUUACGACAUGGUGGAGGUUGAGCUUGUGCUGAAGCUUGGAUUGCUGUGCUCCCAUUCGCUGUCCAAGUCGCGGCCAUGUAUGCGUCUAGUCAUGCUGUACUUGGAAGGAGGUGCAAGACUUCCAGACUUCCAGCCGGCUUCUCUGGUCACUGAUGGACAUGAGGAUGAAGAGAUUGAUCAGGCUUUGUGUACAUCUGCAGCUACGACUGUGACCAUUCUGUCUGGAAGGUGA